Long non-coding RNA from Panicum virgatum (switchgrass), 4815 nucleotides. RefSeq lists it as uncharacterized. Lineage: Eukaryota; Viridiplantae; Streptophyta; Magnoliopsida; Poales; Poaceae. The record is from RefSeq and is a predicted model, not a curated record. The transcript is spliced from 3 exons.
ACGAUGCUUCGACCCGCUCCCCCUCCACGGCUUCGACCACGUCCACCUCGACCUCGGCUACUAUGGCACUAAAGGGCUAUCAUCUGCAUGAGUCUCCAGUCAAAGCUUUCGCACCGGCAUUCCGACUGCAGGGGGAUAUGUCUCCAUUGUUCUCUAGUCUGACUGUUCGUGUUGCUACUGCUACGACUGCGGGGGGAUGUUAGAGUAUAUUAGGCAACUCCAGAUAUGGUUAGUUUAGGAUUGAUUGUAAUCCCGGGAUAACCUUCCUUAUCUCUAGGAGAGGCUACUUGCCCUCCAAGCCAUGUACUCCUAUAUAUACCGCCCAAAAGGCUCAAUGCAAUACAUCGACCUCAUUAUACGCAUCCUACUUUCUUACAACAGUGAUACUGAAAAAGACAUUGACUGGAGACGAGUUUCUUUAGCAAGUAAAGCAGACAAUGCUUGUGCCAUAGUCAAAUCAGAUUCACCAUGAAGUAGCUGUCUACGAAGAGAAUCAAAUUCUUCCCAUACACCCAUGACAAAGCGAUAUGCAAGAAAUCGGUGAAGAAACUUGUGUGCUGGACAAUUACCAGUAGGGCAUUCAUCAAUCAUAGAGGUCAAAGAUCCCACCAGACGAUCAAAAGUAGAGUAAUACUCAUCAAUGGACAUAUCAUUUUGUUCAAUUACAUGAACUUGCUGCAAGAGAUUAUGUAAAAGAGCACCACUGUCCGGAACAUAGCGCCCCUCAAUGCCGUCUCUACACAAAAGGCCCAUUCAGGAUAAUUCUGACCAUCAAGGAUGAUAUUGAUUACUAUUGUAUUGAUCUGUGCCAUGGUGAAAGCUGCUAGCACCUUGACCCAAACAAACGAAGAAGGAAGCAGUUACCACAGCAGAACAAUCAGCAGAUCAGAGCAGAGCACCAGCAGAGCAGAGCACCCCCCAUCCAUGGCGCCAGCAGAGCAGAGCAUGCGUCCAUGUAGCAGAACAGGGGCAGGCACCAACAGAGCAGCCCCCCUUCCCGGUCCGUGCAGCAGAACAGGGGCGGACGCAGACAGCCAGGCGCAGACAGGGGCAGGCGGGAAUGAAGAGGGGCGGGCGCACGGUGCAUGGACGGGCGGCCGGCGACGAACGCAGAGCGCGGACGGGCGACGACGAGCGCGGCGCGCAGACGGGCGGCCGGCAACCCGCAACAGGCGGAUCCGCGACGUGCGAACGUCCGGGAGGCCACAACAACGUCUGCAACAGGCGGACGGCCGCGACGGGCGGCGUGCCGGCGGGGACAGACGCCGUGACGGGCGGCGAACGAGGACGCCGCAACGGGCGGCGACCAGAAGUGCAGCGACGAGCGGCAGGGGACGACGGACAGCAACGUGCAGAUCCGCGCCGGCGGGCAGCAAACGAGCCACCAGACGACCAGACGACCGCCGGCGAAGAUGAACAGUGGAUCUCGGGUGGGCUAACCUAACCCUAACCCUACCUGCUCUGAUUCCAUGUUACCUUACAAUGAAUGAAUCAAGAGGGAAAGCACAAUGGAGGUGAGCUAGUAGAUAAGCCUUUACAGUAUGGGCCACUUGGGCCUGUAGAGUAUAUGGGUCAUAUAGCCAUAUAACAGAUUUAUGAGCUGCUACCUAACAAGUGGGUGUAUUAGGCUGAGAAUGUGCGAUUUGGUGCCCAGGUGUUGUGAUUAGCUGGUUGCUUGGGAUUUGUAUGCUCAGGUAGGGUAUUGCUUGGCGAGGCAUGUAGCAAGGGCCCUGUACUGGUAAAGAUCCCUCUUUCUAUUUCUACAUCAUUGAUGUAGAAAGGGCCCUCCUUUUGAUGAGUCUGGUCUCUAUAUUUUGGAUUGUUGUUCUUUAGAUUAAUCAGUACCCUCUUAUCAAAAUGGUGGUGGAUGUAGAUAGGCUCACAAUGUUAAGAGCAUCUCCAAGAGCUCUUGUAUCUAUGAAUAGCUAAAAUCCUGAUAUAGCUAUUAUGUAAAAUGAAAUAGCUAGCGAAAAAGGAAUGAAAUCCAACAGCUUCUUCAAAUCCAAAAAGGAAUGGCUAGCGUUGAGCGCUAGGCAAAGAUGCCCAGCGGCAUCCCCUGGAUAGAAAACGAGGACAGAAGACGAGGUAUAUAAAGUUUCUGUUGGAUGUGGUUUUUUCGUCUUCCUUUUCUUUUUUUUAAAAACUCAUCCAAGAUAUAAGAGCUCUUGGAGAUGCUCUUAGAUUGACAUUAUUCAGAAGCUAUAGGAAAACCAUGUUAGUUUAUAGACAUUUCUAUUGAAAAAUUGGUUGACUGUCUUACAAAUUAACAAGAGCAGAUAUCCAUGUUCCCUUUUGUAUGAAAAGGUAUUUCCUACUUUAGCAGUUGGAGUAUCUUUCUUUGCUGUUCAAAGCAAAAUGAUUUGGUUUAUUCCAUAUCUCUUCCUUUACUAAUUCAAAUUAAACUAUUCUUUACAGGCUUGCUAAAAUAUAUUUGUUUUACUCAUUGAAAAUGUGUUUCGUGUCUAGAUUCUUUUAAUGGUUAGCAUCAUUCAAUCAUUGAAAUUUAGUUCUUUGAUGCAUCUUCUAGCAGCAGGACCUUCUGGAAGUAGGUUAGUAAAUACUAUUAACUUUGUCGAUAUUGUCAUUCUGCAUAACUUGGAAGGAUCACCUUCUUGUAAAUAAUCAAAUAGUUCUGUAUAUGACAUAUAGAUGAUAUCAAGAUUGCUAAUAUAUGUUGGCAGACUUUAUUUUAUUUACGUUUACAGGUGAGGCUGUGCAAACCUUUGGACUCCAUUAUUGUUUACUGGCACAACUGGAGGAUACUUGGUUACAAGAGAACGGUGCGAGGGAAGUACUUGCUCAAAAGUUCACCAUCCUAGCUUCAAAACUGUUCCAACUCACAAUAGUAAAAAACAUACUCUUAUUUCCCUUUUCAUAUAUUAAGUAAAGGUUUUUAUUUCCAGACUGGGCUAUGUGACAUGGCAGUAAUAUAUAGCCAAACAGUUCAGCUGUUGAAACUUAGUGUUUGGCAUUUGAUUCUGCACCUUAUGGAGUAUAUAUGUAGUUUAUUUAUCAGCAUCCAGAUGAAGUCAUCUACAUUAACUACACUAAAUUUACAUGAUAGGUAGACUGGUGUAAUCCUUUUAUUUGUUUUUGUAGAGAAGACUAAAAUUAGGGAUGACUUCUGACAUCAAAAUUUUUGGCUGUUAUGCUAGGCAUCUACUGUUCCAUAAUACUCUUGUUAUUUUUUACAUUUUGAACAGUUCAAACUCAUCAUUGCAGCUUGGAGGGCUGAGUCAUGCAACAGACAAGAGCAUCUUCCAAGCUAUUGAUUCCCUUUUGGUUGUGUUCCUAUAUAGCUGCUCCUUGAUAGAGUGAGUGUAUAACUUCUCUUGUUUGUGUGAAAAGCAUAUAUAUGUUUGCCUUUAUUAUUGAUCUGAGUAUAUCUUGAUCCACUUAUCAUUUUGCUCCCAUGCUAGGAUUGAUUUCAAUACUCGAUGUAGUCUAAUAGCAUUUGUAAAACAUACAGUAGGAUUUCAUGAUCUUUUUCUUAUGCAAACCAAGUGAAUAACAGUAUUGGCCUCAUUUUUAUAUGCUCCAUUUGAUCUUGUGACAUUUUUUUGCUUCAUCUUUCGUCCGUCGUCCGCCCCCGUCAUUAUGGGAAAAAACCGCUUUUAAAACUUUGACUACAAUACAUUCACAUCACACAUUAGCUAAAAAACAAAGUAGCAGAUUGAUAUAACUACAGUGAACUUUGGGCAAAGUAUGAUCUACAUUAUUUCAGGUGCCAUCUCUACUAUUCUGAUUUGUUGUAUGCUGCUCCAGGUGUUAGUGAUAUAAGCUCUCGAUAGAUAGAAAAGAUCAACAUGCUCCAGGUAUGCAUCCCUUUGUUUGUUUCUCAUACUUACCUCUGACUGUUGUGAGGGAAAUAGGGAAUCAUAUGUCUUGAUCAUGUUGUUCAAAGGGUGCUCUUGGCCAGUCGAUUAUCCAUUCCCCUCUCAUCCGGGAUUCUGCUGAAGGAAAACUAUGCUGCUGAAUUUGACUACAAGCAGGGAGGGGUAAGUUGACUAAGAAGCUGUGAAUAGCGAAAGAGGAAGGAGCAAUCCAGUGAGCCUUGGAUCAAGAAUUAUGGAAUGGAUUUGAAGCCACUCUGCUGCUGUGUUGGCAUCUGGAAUCGAGGUGCAUAGAGCAAUUUGGCCACCGGACUAACGGCUAAGGGAAGGUUUUGAAGGCAGGGUCUCAUGACUUCGUUGCGUGGUGCAUUGGGCCCAGAGGGCACCCAGCGAGCAAUUUCAUUGUGGUAAGCCCAAGCUGCAUGUUCUAAUUAGCUUUAGUCUUUUCAUUCCAAAGGGUUUAGAACAGAGAAAUAAUAUAUAUAGUAAAAAAUAUUUCUUCUUAUGUUUGAUAAAAAGGACAUUGUUUAGUUCAGUAUGUGUACUUUCCUUGGAAUUAUUUUGGAGAUUAUUUUUUUUACCUUUUUUAUAUGACUUAGAUCUGCAUUCUGGUUUGUUUCUAUUUCAGGAAAUAAAACUUUUUAAGUUGCUAAAGGCCCUAGAUAUGCUAAACUGGUAGCUCUGCAUUUGCAUGCUUUUUGCAAUUUGCUUAUGUUUCUAGAAAGAGAGGAAGCUUUAUUUGUCCUGUGGCUUUGAGCAGUACAUGAGCCUUGUAUGAUAAAGAUCAUUAGCAAGUUUAGGGAUUAGCAUGUGCAAUUUUGACAAAUGUGAUUCUCAUGUCGGUAACACUUAAGCAUAGUGCAGACUCUUUUCAGUACAGGUUUUGCUUCAGCUAGGAGAACUGCUUCUACUCUUUAGUAAUUUCCUAUUUUUUUUCAAUUCCCAAUAGAUUUAUUGAUAUAUUCAGAAUCAUUUCCCUUUG